CGGCGAUGACUGCCCUCGAGUGCUUAACUCGUCUUACCUAUUUUCAGAGCCCCCACAAGUGGGGCGCUGCUGAACAAUGAG
This 81-nucleotide small nucleolar RNA is filed under the name Chlamydomonas reinhardtii. RNAcentral describes it as "CrCD10g snoRNA". The record is from RNAcentral. Lineage: Eukaryota; Viridiplantae; Chlorophyta; Chlorophyceae; Chlamydomonadales; Chlamydomonadaceae.